RNAcentral lists this signal recognition particle RNA (99 nucleotides) under Planctomycetota bacterium. RNAcentral's name for it is "Planctomycetes bacterium signal recognition particle sRNA small type". It matches the Rfam family "Bacterial small signal recognition particle RNA". From Rfam's summary of the family: The signal recognition particle (SRP) is a universally conserved ribonucleoprotein involved in the co-translational targeting of proteins to membranes. Archaeal SRP consists of a 7S RNA and homologues of the eukaryotic SRP19 and SRP54 proteins. In most bacteria, the SRP consists of a 4.5S RNA and the Ffh protein (a homologue of the eukaryotic SRP54 protein). RNAcentral also lists the same sequence under 1 other name. The record is from RNAcentral. Lineage: Bacteria; Pseudomonadati; Planctomycetota.
GAUGAGAGGCCCCUGCGAUGGGGAUCUGUGAACCUGGUCAGGGCCUAACCGCAGCAGCCAUAAGCAGUCGUCCCUUUGUGCGGUGGGCCUCUCAUCGGC